GCAGCCAUGCUUCGUCACUACGCCAUC
RNAcentral lists this non-coding RNA (27 nucleotides) under Rattus norvegicus (Norway rat). Lineage: Eukaryota; Metazoa; Chordata; Mammalia; Rodentia; Muridae. The record is from RNAcentral.